CCUACGGGUGGCUGCAGUAGGGAAUUUUCGUCAAUGGGCGCAAGCCUGAACGAGCAAUGCCGCGUGAACGAGGAAGGUCUUCGGAUCGUAAAGUUCUGUUGAUGGGGAAAAAGAGCGGAGCGAGGAAAUGUUCUUCGAUUGAUAUUACCCUUCGGGGAAGUCACGGCUAACUACGUGCCCGCAGCCGUGGUAAUACGUAGGUGGCGUGCGUUAUCCGGAAUGAUUGGGUGUAAGGGGUGCGUAGGCGGCCUGCUAAGUCUGGCGUGAAAGGUACCGGCUCAACCGGUACAGGGUCUGGAAACUGGGGGGAUAGAGAGCAGGAUAGGGCAGUGGAACUCCAUGGGGAGCGGGAAAAUGCGUAGAUAAAUG
Molecule: ribosomal RNA, 369 nt
Filed under: uncultured bacterium
Lineage: Bacteria
Description: partial 16S ribosomal RNA
Rfam family: Bacterial small subunit ribosomal RNA
Source: RNAcentral